GUAUCGAGUUAACUCCCAACCCAUGUGAACAUACCUACUGUUGCUUCGGCGGGAUUGCCCCGGGCGCCUCGUGUGCCCCGGAUCAGGCGCCCGCCUAGGAAACUUAACUCUUGUUUUAUUUUGGAAUCUUCUGAGUAGUUUUUACAAAUAAAUAAAAACUUUCAACAACGGAUCUCUUGGUUCUGGCAUCGAUGAAGAACGCAGCGAAAUGCGAUAAGUAAUGUGAAUUGCAGAAUUCAGUGAAUCAUCGAAUCUUUGAACGCACAUUGCGCCCGCCAGUAUUCUGGCGGGCAUGCCUGUCUGAGCGUCAUUUCAACCCUCAUGCCCCUAGGGCGUGGUGUUGGGGAUCGGCCAAAGCCCGCGAGGGACGGCCGGCCCCUAAAUCUAGUGGCGGACCCGUCGUGGCCUCCUCUGCGAAGUAGUGAUAUUCCGCAUCGGAGAGCGACGAGCCCCUGCCGUUAAACCCCCAACUUUCCAAGGUUGACCUCAGAUCAGGUAGGAAUACCCGCUGAACUUAAGCAUAAAAAAAA
RNAcentral lists this ribosomal RNA (530 nucleotides) under Clonostachys rosea. RNAcentral describes it as "eukaryotic LSU rRNA". The stretch from base 157 to 310 matches the Rfam family "5.8S ribosomal RNA". The record is from RNAcentral. Lineage: Eukaryota; Fungi; Ascomycota; Sordariomycetes; Hypocreales; Bionectriaceae.